UGGAUUUAAGCAUAUAAUUAAGCGGAGGAAAAGAAACUAACCAGGAUUCCCUCAGUAAGGGCGACUGAAGCGGGAAGAGCUCAACUUGUGAAUCAGCGCUUGCGCCGAAUUGUGGUGUGCUCACGCUAUGGGCCGGGCCAAGUCCCUUGGAAAAGGGCAGCAGAGAGGGUGAGACUCCCGUCCGCCUGGCCCUUGGAGUAGGCAUAAUAGAGUCGAGUUGUUUGGGAUUGCAGCUCUAAGUGGGUGGUAAAUUCCAUCGAAAGCUAAAUAUCGGUGGGAGACCGAUAGCGUACAAGUACCGUGAGGGAAAGAUGCAAAGAACUUUGAAAAGAGAGUUAAAGAGUACCUGAAAUUGCUGAAAGGGAAGCGAAGGAAACCAGUGUCGUCCCCGUCAUAUUUCUCUGCCCGCUUGCGGUCAGAGCGCUGUGGCUGGAUUGGUCAGGCUUGGUUGGUCGGGUCGGAAACGUGCCUCUGGUGUUGCCAGUGGUUUGUGGCGACUUGAACGACUGAGACUGGUGAAAUGGUUUUCUUUACCCCGUCUUGAAACAGGGAACCAAGGA
Molecule: ribosomal RNA, 560 nt
Filed under: Grammatophora marina
Lineage: Eukaryota; Bacillariophyta; Fragilariophyceae; Rhabdonematales; Grammatophoraceae
Description: eukaryotic LSU rRNA
Rfam family: Eukaryotic large subunit ribosomal RNA
Source: RNAcentral